AGGAGCUUUGCUCCUUUGAUCAGUGGCGAACGGGUGAGUAACACGUGAGCAACCUGCCCCUCACUCUGGGAUAACACUUGGAAACAGGUGCUAAUACCGGAUACGACACAGACAGGCAUCUGUACUGUGUGGAAAGUUUUUCGGUGAGGGAUGGGCUCGCGGCCUAUCAGUUAGUUGGUGGGGUAAUGGCCUACCAAGACGACGACGGGUAGCCGGCCUGAGAGGGCGACCGGCCACACUGGGACUGAGACACGGCCCAGACUCCUACGGGAGGCAGCAGUGGGGAAUAUUGCACAAUGGGCGAAAGCCUGAUGCAGCGACGCCGCGUGAGGGAUGACGGCCUUCGGGUUGUAAACCUCUUUCAGCAGGGAAGAAGCGCAAGUGACGGUACCUGCAGAAGAAGCACCGGCUAACUACGUGCCAGCAGCCGCGGUAAUACGUAGGGUGCGAGCGUUGUCCGGAAUUAUUGGGCGUAAAGAGCUUGUAGGCGGUUUGUCGCGUCUGCCGUGAAAAUCCGGGACUCAAUUCCGGACUUGCGGUGGGUACGGGCAGACUAGAGUACGGUAGGGGAGACUGGAAUUCCUGGUGUAGCGGUGAAAUGCGCAGAUAUCAGGAGGAACACCGAUGGCGAAGGCAGGUCUCUGGGCCGUAACUGACGCUGAGAAGCGAAAGCAUGGGGAGCGAACAGGAUUAGAUACCCUGGUAGUCCAUGCCGUAAACGUUGGGCGCUAGGUGUGGGGCUCAUUCCACGAGCUCUGUGCCGCAGCUAACGCAUUAAGCGCCCCGCCUGGGGAGUACGGCCGCAAGGCUAAAACUCAAAGGAAUUGACGGAAGGGCG
RNAcentral lists this ribosomal RNA (838 nucleotides) under uncultured bacterium. RNAcentral describes it as "bacterial SSU rRNA". It matches the Rfam family "Bacterial small subunit ribosomal RNA", at positions 74 to 923 of the family's 1533-position model. The record is from RNAcentral.